GGAACCUGGGAGUGAGGGUCGGCGGGAAUGCGGAGGGUGCAAUCGUAUAGAGUAGUGACGGGGCGUAAAGCGUGCGGAGGCGGUUUAUUAAGUCGGUGGUGAAAUCCCUGGGCUGAAGCUGUGAACUGGAGUCGAUACUGGUGAACUAGAGUGCGGGAGAGGGUGGCGGAACUCCGGGUGUAGCGGUGAAAUGCGUAGAUAUCCGGAAGAACACCGAUGGCGAAGGCAACCACCUGGGCCUGCACUGACGCUGAGGUACGAAAGCGUGGGGAGCAAACAGGAUUAGAUACCCGAGUAGUC
Molecule: ribosomal RNA, 300 nt
Filed under: uncultured Leptospira sp.
Lineage: Bacteria; Pseudomonadati; Spirochaetota; Leptospiria; Leptospirales; Leptospiraceae
Description: partial 16S ribosomal RNA
Rfam family: Bacterial small subunit ribosomal RNA (bases 52-300)
Source: RNAcentral